GUGCUCACCUUGGUAGCAUAUAUAUUAAAAUUAGAAUGAUACAGAGAUGAUUAGCAUGGCCUCUGCAAAAGGAUGACAUGUAAAUUCAUAAGACAUUCCAUAUUUUU
This is a small nuclear RNA of Cebus imitator (Panamanian white-faced capuchin), 107 nucleotides long. NCBI's taxonomy places the organism in Eukaryota, Metazoa, Chordata, Mammalia, Primates, Cebidae. The record is from Ensembl.